CUAAGGAGGAGUGACAAUUCCGCGCCCUGACGAAAUAGGGCGUUAAAAGAUGUAGGUAUAUUUUCUAUAGGCAAAUCCGUAGAGAAUGCUGAAGUCCAACAGUACCAGGAGGCUCCGGCCGAAUGGAUAGAGAAUGUAGCAGACUUCCGAGAAAAUCUUCUAAGCAUAUUGAUACGGUACCCGUACCGCAAACCGACACAGGUAGUCAAGGAGAGAAUCCUGAGGUGCUCGAGUGAGUCAUGGCUAAGGAACUAGGCAAAUUAAACCUGUAACUUCGGGAAAAGGGUUGCCUCUCUUUAGCAAUAAAGAAGGUCGCAGAGAAAUGGCCCAGGCGACUGUUUAACAAAAACACAUGGCUAUGCGAAAUCGUAAGAUGAAGUAUAUGGCCUGACACCUGCCCGGUGCUGGAAGGUUAAGGGGGGAAGUUAGUCGCAAGGCGAAGCUUUGAACUGAAGCCCCAGUAAACGGCGGCCGUAACUAUAACGGUCCUAAGGUAGCGAAAUUCCUUGUCGGGUAAGUUCCGACCUGCACGAAUGGUGUAACGAUCUGGGCACUGUCUCAGCCAUGAGCUCGGUGAAAUUGUAGUCACGGUGAUAUGCCGUGUACCCGUCACGGGACGGAAAGACCCCAUGCACCUUUACUAUAGCUUCGCAUUGACAUUGGGUAGAUGAUGUGUAGGAUAGGUGGGAGGCGUUGAUCCUGUGCCGCUAGGUAUAGGGGAGCCAACGGUGAAAUACCACCCUUUAUUUAUCUGAUGUCUAAUCCGCAAGACCUGCGGAGACAGUGCGUGGUGGGUAGUUUGACUGGGGUGGUCGCCUCCGAAAGUGUAUCGGAGGCUUUCAAAGAUAUGCUCAAUACGCUUGGUAACCGUAUGUGGAGUGCAAUAGCAUAAGCAUGCUUGACUGUGAGACUGACAAGUCGAGCAGGGUCGAAAGACGGAUAUAGUGAUCCGGUGGUUCUGUAUGGAAGGGCCAUCGCUCAAAGGAUAAAAGGUACGCUGGAUAACAGGCUGAUCUCCCCCAAGAGCUCACAUCGACGGGGAGGUUUGGCACCUCGAUGUCGGCUCGUCACAUCCUGGGGCUGGAGAAGGUCCCAAGGGUUAGGCUGUUCGCCUAUUAAAGUGGCAUGCGAGCUGGGUUCAGAACGUCGUGAGACAGUUCGGUCCCUAUCUGUGAUGGGCGUAGGAAGUUUGAGAGGAUCUGACCUUAGUACGAGAGGACCGGGUUGGACCAACCGCUGGUGUACCGGUUGUGGCGUCAGCUGCAUCGCCGGGUAGCUACGUUGGGACGAGAUAAGCGCUGCAAGCAUCUAAGCGCGAAACUCACCUCAAGAUGAGACUUCCAUUAAGGGACGUCAGAGACUAUGACGUUGAUAGGCUGCAGGUGUAAAGGCAGAAAUGUCAAAGCUGAGCAGUACUAAUUACCC
RNAcentral lists this ribosomal RNA (1425 nucleotides) under metagenome. RNAcentral describes it as "bacterial LSU rRNA". It matches the Rfam family "Bacterial large subunit ribosomal RNA", at positions 1470 to 2910 of the family's 2925-position model. The record is from RNAcentral.